UCUACGAGUUUUGUUCUUUGUCUUUAUUUAUCAAAUAAUAUUGAAAGUAAUAUUAAUUAGUUUUGGCUCAUGAAAAGAAAUCAAGGCAAUGCAAAUUUUGAAAAGUUAAUAUUGACGUAUGUUUCAGGUUUGGAAUUGGAUAGAGGAAACCUAUGAAAGCAUUUCAUAGAAAAAAUGCCAUAAGAAGUCCAAUCUAAAGUUGAAGAAUUGGCUUAAGCUACACGGCACUUUGAUUUAUCUACUUGCCCUUACUAAACUCCAAUUUUACUUUGCUCAUUGN
Molecule: long non-coding RNA, 280 nt
Filed under: Capsella grandiflora
Lineage: Eukaryota; Viridiplantae; Streptophyta; Magnoliopsida; Brassicales; Brassicaceae
Description: long non-coding RNA (CGRA_LNC001708)
Source: RNAcentral